AUCUCUUAAAGAACGGGACAUCCGAUAAAAUUGAAACGAUAUAGAGAAGAUUAGCAUUGCUCCUACGCAAGAAUGACACGCACAAAUCGAGAAAUGGUGGUUGUAAAC
Eutrema salsugineum is the source of this 108-nucleotide small nuclear RNA. The record is from Rfam. Lineage: Eukaryota; Viridiplantae; Streptophyta; Magnoliopsida; Brassicales; Brassicaceae.